CACUGCCACCAGGUCGACAUAAGUCACGGCGGCACAGACACGGUCGCAGCAACGCCGCAAAUCGUGUCAACGCAACGCGUUGACAACUGUCACGAGAGAGAGAUAGGGAGAAAGAGUGAGAGAGAGCGAGGAGAAAGAGCGCAAAAAGCGAUGUAAACAAACAAGCACAAGUAGUAGGAAAAAAAGUGAAAAACGUUUACGAGCAGCUAGACGCGCGUGAAUAGGGGUUAAAAGGUGCGCUUUUGUGCAGUUUCGCGAGUUUGGUGCAUUUUGUGCGUGCAACGAGAAGGUUGACGAUCACGUACAGGUAGAAGCUACGAUCACGAACAGUACGGUCGCAAGCGGUUGAUUAGACGUUCCGACGGGACGUAGAAGGCCAGUUGACCUCGAACAGCACAAGAACGACACAGUACAGGACAGAAUUGGAUUCCGGCGGAGUCAGCAGGGAAUUUCAAUUGAACUUGAUUGUGGAUAGGACGGUUACAAGGAGCAGGAAAAGAUUUCUGGAAAGGAUCAAACUAAAAAAUGUAAGGAAACACACACACACACACAUGUACAUUUACAAACAUACUAAAAACUGUUCUUAAAUACAUUCAACAGUUUGAUCUGCUGCGAAGCGGCUGAUUCACAAAAUUUCGUUGGAUUAUUUCUACACCGUCCGAACAAAAUCAAAAUUUUUUAAACCGGAUUCGGAAAUGGUUUCCCGUAUGAAGGAAACGAAGUGCAUGUUCUGCAAAAAGGCAGACAAGCAUGAGCAUGGUUGGGAGGAGUGUUCUAA
Molecule: long non-coding RNA, 778 nt
Organism: Culex quinquefasciatus (southern house mosquito)
Lineage: Eukaryota; Metazoa; Arthropoda; Insecta; Diptera; Culicidae
Exons: 3
Source: RefSeq, a predicted model, not a curated record